ACGGGACUUGAUGCUGGCUCUCCUUGGAGAGUAUGUGCUCGGUUCUACUCAAAUCCAUUAUACACCUGUGCACUUUCAAAGUUGUAGUCCUCCGUAAUGGGAGCUAUGUCUUGUAAUGAGAUGCUGGGACUACUCUUUGCCCAUUAUCACAAACUUUUAUAAUGUCUUGUAGAAUGUUAACAGCCUAAGGGCUUAAAAGUUAAUACAACUUUCAACAACGGAUCUCUUGGCUCUCGCAUCGAUGAAGAACGCAGCGAAAUGCGAUAAGUAAUGUGAAUUGCAGAAUUCAGUGAAUCAUCGAAUCUUUGAACGCACCUUGCACUCCUUGGUAUUCCGAGGAGUAUGCUUGUUUGAGAGUAUUGUAAUCAUCAAUCCUCCUUUGCUUUUGUGAAGGUUGGCUUGGAUUUGGAGAUUGCUAGUCCCUUAGUUGGUUGUAGCUUCUCUUGAAUGCAUUAGUUAAAUGAAGUUGCAACGCUAUGUGUGGUGUGAUAAUUAUCUUCACUGCAUAGUUGUGAUGAAGUUUGGCUUCUAACAGUCUCUUCAAUGAGACAACUAUGAACAUUUUACCUCAAAUCAAGUAGGACUACCCGCUGAACUUAAGCAUAUCAAUAA
Molecule: ribosomal RNA, 612 nt
Filed under: Lyomyces sp. 2 MPM-2012
Lineage: Eukaryota; Fungi; Basidiomycota; Agaricomycetes; Hymenochaetales; Schizoporaceae
Description: eukaryotic LSU rRNA
Rfam family: 5.8S ribosomal RNA (bases 207-360)
Source: RNAcentral